This is an unclassified non-coding RNA of Fukomys damarensis (Damara mole-rat), 331 nucleotides long. Its record names the gene 7SK. It matches the Rfam family "7SK RNA". Rfam says of the family: 7SK was discovered as an abundant small nuclear RNA in the mid-70s but a possible function has only recently been suggested. Two independent studies have found that 7SK RNA binds the CDK9/cyclin T complex (known as elongation factor P-TEFb). Lineage: Eukaryota; Metazoa; Chordata; Mammalia; Rodentia; Bathyergidae. The record is from Ensembl.
GAAUGUGAGGGUGAUCUGGUUAUGACAUCUGUCACCCCAUUGAUCAUCAGGGUUCAUUUGGAUGAUCUGGCUAGCCAGGUGGGUAUCACCUUCCUCCCUCACCAGUCCAUGUGUGCCCCUUCUGAAGCCGUGAUGACAAGGAUGACCACCAUAUAGAAGUGAUGGAGAAGGACUUUCUCCUCAAUCAAGGGUAUAUGAGUAGCUCUGCUCCCCUGCUGGAACCUCCAAACAAGCUCUCAAGGAAUACACAGAUAGAUAAACAUAGUAGGAAUAAAAUAUUUUCUAGGAAGAAACAAAUUAAGAAUUUGGUAGUAUGAGCCCACAAGUAUUU